UGGUCCUCUGGUCAGGGUUUGAU
This 23-nucleotide non-coding RNA is filed under the name Mus musculus (house mouse). Lineage: Eukaryota; Metazoa; Chordata; Mammalia; Rodentia; Muridae. The record is from RNAcentral.